Molecule: non-coding RNA, 116 nt
Organism: Acanthosepion pharaonis
Lineage: Eukaryota; Metazoa; Mollusca; Cephalopoda; Sepiida; Sepiidae
Source: the annotation of a GenBank genome assembly
CGGCCACAUCACAUCACGUUGAAACACCGGUUCCCAUACGAUCACCGAAGUUAAGCAACGUCGAGCUUGACCAGUAUCUAGAUGGGUGAUCGCUUGGAAAUACCAGGUACCGUAAG